UACAGAGGGGGCAAGCGUUAUUCGGAAUUAUUGGGCGUAAAGGGCGCGUAGGCGGUUUUUUAAGUCGGAUGUGCAAUCCCCAGGCUCAACCUGGGAACUGCAUCCGAGACUGGAAGGCUAGAGUACUGGAGAGGGUGGUGGAAUUCCUCGUGUAGCGGUGAAAUGCGUAGAGAUGAGGAGGAACACCAGUGGCGAAGGCGGCCAUCUGGGACAACACUGACGCUGAAGCACGAAAGCGUGGGGAGCAAACAGG
RNAcentral lists this ribosomal RNA (253 nucleotides) under uncultured bacterium. Its description in RNAcentral is "partial 16S ribosomal RNA". It matches the Rfam family "Bacterial small subunit ribosomal RNA", at positions 524 to 776 of the family's 1533-position model. The record is from RNAcentral.